RNAcentral lists this ribosomal RNA (437 nucleotides) under uncultured bacterium. Its description in RNAcentral is "partial 16S ribosomal RNA". It matches the Rfam family "Bacterial small subunit ribosomal RNA", at positions 355 to 784 of the family's 1533-position model. The record is from RNAcentral.
UGGGGAAUAUUGGACAAUGGGCGCAAGCCUGAUCCAGCAAUGCCGCGUGUGUGAAGAAGGCCUUCGGGUUGUAAAGCACUUUUAUCAGGAGCGAAACGCUGUCGGCUAAUACCCGGCGGAACUGACGGUACCUGAGGAAUAAGCACCGGCUAACUUCGUGCCAGCAGCCGCGGUAAUACGAAGGGUGCAAGCGNUAUGAUCGAAUACUGGGCGUAAAGCGUGCGUAGGCGGUUUCUUAAGUCUGCUGUGAAAUCCCCGGGCUCAACCUGGGAAUGGCAGUGGAUACUGGGAGGCUAGAGUGUGUCAGAGGGUGGUGGAAUUCCCGGUGUAGCGGUGAAAUGCGUAGAGAUCGGGAGGAACAUCAGUGGCGAAGGCGGCCACCUGGGACAACACUGACGCUGAGGCACGAAAGCGUGGGGAGCAAACAGGAUUAGAUA